UUAGACACUCGAGAUUCGCGAAACUUGCAGAGGGGCCAGUUAUCUCUCUAAAUUGUCACGUUGAAGCAGCAAGUCCCCCAAUUCGAUGAAAAAAGGUUGCGUAAUUCGCGUGAACUGCCGUCAUUCACUUGAUCACUCGAGCGCUGCCGCAGGCCCUCCCAUCAUCUCGUUCAGGAUCUAAUUGGUUUGUUUGAAGAUCAGAUACCUUCACCUUGUUUGGAUCGUAAGCAACAGGUUUUUUGGAAGUGGAGCAGCAUGCACAAAUUUUCUGCAUAAAUUCCAUUCUCAGAGCUUGAUUCUCCUUCAUUAGCUGCUGAGCUUGCUGCCUAAGCUUUUCGUUCUCUUCAAUAAUUUGGAGGUUCUUUAAGUACUCGGAGUUCGUUUCCAUGCUGGAGUGCUUGUCUUUGCCUGAAAAGAAAGAGGAAAAAACAAUUGUCAUUUGUCAAGCAUACUGUUAUCUUAAUUAAUAAACAUAUAGUAUCUGCGAAAGUGUGCGUCUGUCUGUGCGCUUUGUGGAGAUUAUAUUAUGUGAAGGGAAUAAAUGCAAUUGAUAUGGGCAUAUGAGAGGGAUGAAUUUGUAAACCUCUAUCGGUGAUAGUAUGCUGUUAUGAGCUGAGAUGCGCUAAGAAUGCAUGUAAAUGUCUCUUUUUAUAGGCCAGACAGGGCACAUCUAACAGGGGCACGAGACAUACGUGUGACUAAUUUAUAUUUUAUUUAUUUA
Daucus carota subsp. sativus is the source of this 721-nucleotide long non-coding RNA. RefSeq lists it as uncharacterized. The record is from RefSeq and is a predicted model, not a curated record. The transcript has 3 exons. Lineage: Eukaryota; Viridiplantae; Streptophyta; Magnoliopsida; Apiales; Apiaceae.